Molecule: long non-coding RNA, 976 nt
Filed under: Triticum aestivum (bread wheat)
Lineage: Eukaryota; Viridiplantae; Streptophyta; Magnoliopsida; Poales; Poaceae
Description: long non-coding RNA (TAES_LNC015797)
Source: RNAcentral
UACAGGCAUGUGUUCUUCAGGAAAACUAAGACCAGAUUUUAGGUUAUAACGACUUUGUUCUCUAGCAGGAUCAAAGUCUGACAUGUUUAUACAGGUGAGAUUGCAGCGAAUUUGAUGUGCAGAUACAGUUGCUAAUGUCCAGAUUUCAGAGGCAUUGAUAGGUUCAGGUCGACAAGCAUAACAAAGGAACAGAGGAGUUUAAGUCAGUAAUUUUUCCUCUUCGAGAGAUUUGGUGGCCCUUCUUGCUAUGUACAAUGGUGCCUCAUAGUCAAAUUGCACUUUAAACUAAUAACUUUGUGGCGUAUGGGAGAUUUUCAUGACACAAUUGGAGUUACUAAUAAUUUCACUAAGCAAACUGAAGUUUUGUUUCACCUACUGUCAUGUUGGUCUUGCAGAUGAGCUCCAAACAUGGCCAAUCCUCUCAAAGAUUCAAUGGAGUCUGAUGAUGUUGAUCACUCUUCUUCAUUAAUGCCUGCAGGCUGCAGUUGUUGAUCAGUCACAAAGAGGUAUCCACAUUUGUCAACGGUAUAAUGUUCCUUUGCUCUGUACUUUGAACAUAAUGCCUCCAUCCAAAAUUGCAAGGGGCACAAGAAUUUACUCAACAGAAUGUUCAUUGCACAGUUGAUGCCAAUUGAUCCGUAUUGGAAAACACCUUUUCUUUUCUCAUCGAUUUGAACCACAUAGUACACACAUUUCUGCAGUUGCCUCUCUGUCUUUCAGGGUAUUGGUGCCAACGCUCCGUUUGGAGUUGGAGAGGCCCAGACCACCUGCUGCAAGAGGCAAAUGGUGACUUCCAGCCACAGGUUAAUCUCUGUGUACUUACUGCCUUUGAGUUCGGCACCCCGCUUACUGUACACAGAAGAAAACACAUUAAUUGGAGGGUCAAGAUAAGCCUACUCAAUGGGAUCUAACCGUCAAUACAGAAAAGUACCCCUGACUGGUACGCUAAGCAAUUUAGGUGGGCGGACGAAACUCU